RNAcentral lists this transfer RNA (74 nucleotides) under bacterium. Its description in RNAcentral is "tRNA-Ile". It matches the Rfam family "tRNA". From Rfam's summary of the family: Transfer RNA (tRNA) molecules are approximately 80 nucleotides in length. The record is from RNAcentral. RNAcentral also lists the same sequence under 2 other names.
GGGCCCAUAGCUCAGUUGGUUAGAGCAGCGGACUCAUAAUCCGUCGGUCGUAGGUUCGAGUCCUACUGGGCCCA